GUCCAUACCCAUAGCAUUCUGAAUACACAUGAUCUCAUCUGAUCUUGGUAGCUGAGCAGGCUUGGUCUGCUUAGCCCUUGAAUGGGACAAAGCUGGCUGAGCCUGAGCCAUGGGAA
RNAcentral lists this ribosomal RNA (116 nucleotides) under Microtus ochrogaster (prairie vole). The record is from RNAcentral. Lineage: Eukaryota; Metazoa; Chordata; Mammalia; Rodentia; Cricetidae.